RNAcentral lists this long non-coding RNA (1501 nucleotides) under Lupinus mutabilis. RNAcentral describes it as "partial ncRNA". Lineage: Eukaryota; Viridiplantae; Streptophyta; Magnoliopsida; Fabales; Fabaceae. The record is from RNAcentral.
AUAGAGUGAACAAUUGAAUUAUAAAAAGUUAUUAGUUAUUCGUCAAUUAAUUCACCAAUUUAUAUACUUUGUUAAAGCUAGUUAAUUUAGCUACAAUGAAUACCUUUGUUUUAACCGUCUUCCUCCUAGCUACUGUUGGUACCCUUAAUGGUUACACAAUUCCCGGUCUCGGACAGUCAUCUUUCUCAACUGGAUCCUCUGUUAAUGGCGUUAAAAGUCAAUCUUUGGCUAAAUACGAAUCAAGUUCAUCCUCAACUGGACCCAAUGGUGUUCUAAUCAAGACCUCUGAAAGUCGAACUUCAGUCAAUGGUGGAGCUCCUUUAGUCAGCAUUAGUCGAGCCACAUCAGCUGAUUCGUCAAACGCUGGUUUACUCGAUGUCUCUGUCCUUUCCAACGGACAAUCUGGCUCUUCCUCCCAAUCAUCACAAUCUUCUUCUGUCCAGGGUUCAUCAACAACUCCAGACCUUUCAUCAAUCAUUACCGUAGCUCCUAUCACUACAAGCCCACCUAUAACUAUUGGAGGUUCAACCACCUCUGGUUCAUCCCAAUCUCAAACCGCAACCACAUCAAACUCUGGCUCUUCUGACUCCACUGGUUCCUCAACUACUGUUGGUAGCAGCGACAAUGACGAUGACGAUGAUGACUUCUCAGUUGGAUCUUUUGCUCCACGAAGACCACACCGACAUGCUCCUUGCGAUGCACUCGCUUCCCUUACUGGCUGUAAUGACAAGGUUGUUGUCGUUGUUCUUGGUGGUAAUGGACCUGAAAGUCGAUGGGGACGAAUUGCUCGAGGCUCAUUCAGACGAUCACGAUUUGAUAAUGAUGAAGAAGAUGACGAAGAUAAUGAAGAAAGACGAUACCGAUUUGGUCGAAGAGGCUUACGACGAAGCAGCUUUGACUCACGAUCAUCCAACUCAGACUCUUCAGCUACUCGAUCUUCAUCUUCAUCAGAGAAUUCAAACAACUCUGUAGACAACCGACGAUCAUCCUUUGACCGAAGCGAAUUCCUUGCCCGAAAUGAAGCUUUCAGACGAUACCAAGCUGCUCGAGCUGCUCGACGAUCAUCAAGCGAAUCUUCACAAUCUUCUUCUAACUCAUCCAACAACCGAUCAGAAAAUAAUCGCCGAGUAACCCGAAGCCACAGUUCAAAUGAAGAUGUCUCAUCUAACGAAUCAAAGAACCGACGAUCAAGCAACUACGAAAAUGAAAUCAAUGAAAUCAACCGAAUUAACCGAAUUAAUCGAAUUAACCGAAUCAACAAUAUUAACUCAGUUAAUGUUCAAAAUGAUGUUCGAUCAGUAGACAACAAAUCUGUUGACAACCGAUCAUCAAACACAAAAAGCUCAACCAAUGUAUCAAACAGUAACAAAGUUUCGGACGUUCGAUCAUCAGUAAACAAUCAAGCUUCCUCAACAACCGUUUCCAACUCCAACAAGUCAGACGUUAAGUCAUCAUCUAACGUUUCACAGAACUCAAACGUUAAGUCAUCAGUCGAUAAACA